Molecule: ribosomal RNA, 433 nt
Filed under: uncultured bacterium
Lineage: Bacteria
Description: partial 16S ribosomal RNA
Rfam family: Bacterial small subunit ribosomal RNA
Source: RNAcentral
AGCGAACGCUGGCGGCAUGCCUAACACAUGCAAGUCGAACGAGACCUUCGGGUCUAGUGGCGCACGGGUGCGUAACGCGUGGGAACCUGCCCUUAGGUUCGGAAUAACUCCCCGAAAGGGGUGCUAAUACCGGAUAAUGUCUUCGGACCAAAGAUUUAUCGCCUUUGGAUGGGCCCGCGUUGGAUUAGCUAGUUGGUAGGGUAAAAGCCUACCAAGGCGACGAUCCAUAGCUGGUCUGAGAGGAUGAUCGGCCACACUGGGACUGAGACACGGCCCAGACUCCUACGGGAGGCAGCAGUGGGGAAUAUUGGACAAUGGGCGAAAGCCUGAUCCAGCAAUGCCGCGUGAGUGAUGAAGGCCUUAGGGUUGUAAAGCUCUUUUACCCGGGAUGAUAAUGACAGUACCGGGAGAAUAAGCUCCGGCUAACUCCGUG